AUUUCUGACAUUAGAAAAAAUGCUGACCCAAACCACAACUUGCCAGAUCAGAGCUCAGGGAUGAUGGUCUAGCUCUGAUGCAGUCUUAGUGACACGCACUCUGUGAUUGCUUACAAGGACAGGCUUUACUAAAGUUUGCUUGAAAGAGGACGAGAUUAUUUUUAUUUUCCUGUUUCUCUUAUAGCACCCUCUAAAACUUUGGGUUCCUCUGCCCAAAUGCUCAUGUCAUCUUGGAGGCCAGGAUCUGAGAAUCCAGCCAAGCUGUGCUUUUUUCAGGACACCAGGGACAAAGAUGGUUUUAAGCCACCUUCAGACUCUGCUGGUCCCGGAGCCAGGAUCCUACACCUGGGAGGAAUCUCAUUGAUGUUAGAAGUGAAGUCCACAGGAUUCCAUGGAUGUGCACAGUACCAGCUACAGAAAGGAUCAGUGUGGAGAAUCCUGUUUUGUCACUGGCAGAAUUGGCUCUUCUUCUGCUUGGUCCUGGCAGUAAUGACUAUCAUUCCCCUUGCAGUCUAUCGAAUGAUGGUAGCUUUUAAGGACCCUCCACCCAGUGCUGUAUUCCAUGCAGCAGCUGUGUGCUUUGGAGUUCUCGCAGAGACUCUUCUGAUAAAAUACGUAUUGUAUUACUGCAGCAGCAAAUACAACGAGGCCAAGAUGUCUUCAUUUUCCGUCAGAGCGAGAACUGUAGAACAAUGUGAUCGAGGCGUUGGUCUUCUGUGGCCAGCCGGUCAGAACCCAUCAACAGCUGUGAUGAGCAGAGCAGAGAUGGGGAAACAGGAGGCAGUCAAAGCCAAAGAAGGUUUCGGCCUGAAGCUGUGUGUAUGACUGAAGCAGAGCAAGGCCAGGACCCAAGGAAACCCCAGCAGCAAGGGAAAAAACAGAUUGACUCUCAGUGACUCAUUUAGCUCCUGGAUUGGACAAAUCUCUCCCCUGCUGGCAGUUUGGCUGAGCAUCAAUGAGACAGAUACCAGGAUGAAUAGCUUAAAAUAAUUAGGGGGCCAAUCUGCAAAACUGCUCUCAUCCAAUUCUUUACUGUGUGAUGAAAGACACAAAACAAAUUACAUUUAGAUAUUAAAUAUUAAGUCACUGGAUUUACCUCCAUUUGGUCCAAAGCAGGAAACUGGAUAAAAUUCAAUUUUAUAUCAUUGUGUUGAUGGCCUGUUUUUCAUCAAAUGAGUGAGUGUUUGUUGGCAGGUCAGACUCUUUGACACAUGGGGAAAAUAGGUGCUUAAUUUAAAUGAGAAUUAAUGCAAUCAUAAUUAACACAAAUGUGAACAGAAUUAAACACAGGCAAGAGUUCAGUUUAAUGCUUAGCAGUUUAAACUAUAUGUUUUAGGAAACAUCCUGCUUCAGCUGAAGACAAUGGCAGUGUUGCCACUGAAUUCAAUGGAAACCGGAGUAGGCCUUCUAGGUAGACAGGCAGGAUUCCCUGUACUUUAUAUUUAAUGCACAAAAACAGAAGCAACAAGCUCAUUUAGUAUCAGUAAAGGUCAGUUAAAAUUAUAGAGACAUCCUUUGGAGCAAAUCUUCUGCCUUGUAUUUGCAUAUUUAUGAACUAGAGAUUAUGACAGGCCAUUCCAUUUAUUAGAGCAGCGCUGCUAUAGUUAAUAGUCUGUCAGCGUUUCCAUUAUAAACCCCGUUUUUCAGUGUUUUAAUUUCUCAGCCAUUUGAAAUCACAUCAGGAAGCAACGUAGCCCUUGUGUUGUCAGGCCAGGUGCAUUUUUUUUUAAAUUAAUAAAAAUAUAUUUAAAUGAGCUCA
This 1759-nucleotide long non-coding RNA is filed under the name Chrysemys picta bellii (western painted turtle). RNAcentral describes it as "lncRNA (ENSCPBG00000015664.1)". The record is from RNAcentral. Lineage: Eukaryota; Metazoa; Chordata; Testudines; Emydidae.